ACGGGAGGCAGCAGUGGGGAAUAUUGCACAAUGGGGGAAACCCUGAUGCAGCGACGCCGCGUGAGUGAAGAAGUAUUUCGGUAUGUAAAGCUCUAUCAGCAGGAAAGAAAAUGACGGUACCUGACUAAGAAGCCCCGGCUAACUACGUGCCAGCAGCCGCGGUAAUACGGAGGAUCCGAGCGUUAUCCGGAUUUAUUGGGUUUAAAGGGUGCGCAGGCGGGCUGCUAAGUCUCCGGUGAAAUGUCAGGGCUCAACCUUGGCACUGCCGGAGAUACUGGCGGCCUUGAGAGUGGCGGAGGUAUCCGGAAUGUGUGGUGUAGCGGUGAAAUGCAUAGAUAUCACACAGAACACCGAUUGCGAAGGCAGGAUACCAUACCAUAUCUGACGCUCAGGCACGAAAGCGUGGGGAUCGAACAGGAUUAGAUACCCUGGUA
This 434-nucleotide ribosomal RNA is filed under the name uncultured Lachnospiraceae bacterium. RNAcentral describes it as "bacterial SSU rRNA". It matches the Rfam family "Bacterial small subunit ribosomal RNA", at positions 341 to 792 of the family's 1533-position model. Lineage: Bacteria; Bacillati; Bacillota; Clostridia; Lachnospirales; Lachnospiraceae. The record is from RNAcentral.